GCCCCUAUAGCUCAAAUGGAUAGAGCAGCGGUUUCCUAAACCGCGGAUCCCUGUUCAAUUCAGGGUAGGGGUACCA
This 76-nucleotide transfer RNA is filed under the name Limisphaerales bacterium. Its description in RNAcentral is "Verrucomicrobia subdivision 3 bacterium (hot springs metagenome) tRNA-Arg". It matches the Rfam family "tRNA". From Rfam's summary of the family: Transfer RNA (tRNA) molecules are approximately 80 nucleotides in length. Their secondary structure includes four short double-helical elements and three loops (D, anti-codon, and T loops). RNAcentral also lists the same sequence under 2 other names. Lineage: Bacteria; Pseudomonadati; Verrucomicrobiota; Verrucomicrobiia; Limisphaerales. The record is from RNAcentral.